UGAGCAAUCUGCCCUUCUCUUCGGAAUAAGCGUUGGAAACGACGUCUAAUGCCGAAUACGACCUCCUUUCGCAUGAUCGGAGGUGGAAAGCUCCGGCGGAGAAGGAUGAGCUCGCGGCCUAUCAGCUAGUUGGUGUGGGUAAUGGCCCACAAGGCGACGACGGGUAGCCGGCCUGAGAGGGUGACCGGCCACACUGGGACUGAGACACGGCCCAGACCUCCUAUGGGAGCAG
Molecule: ribosomal RNA, 232 nt
Filed under: uncultured bacterium
Lineage: Bacteria
Description: partial 16S ribosomal RNA
Rfam family: Bacterial small subunit ribosomal RNA
Source: RNAcentral